RNAcentral lists this ribosomal RNA (303 nucleotides) under uncultured bacterium. RNAcentral's name for it is "partial 16S ribosomal RNA". It matches the Rfam family "Bacterial small subunit ribosomal RNA", at positions 507 to 808 of the family's 1533-position model. The record is from RNAcentral.
AGCAGCCGCCACGGUAAUACGUAGGUCCCGAGCGUUGUCCGGAUUUAUUGGGCGUAAAGCGAGCGCAGGCGGUUAGAUAAGUCUGAAGUUAAAGGCUGUGGCUUAACCAUAGUACGCUUUGGAAACUGUUUAACUUGAGUGCAAGAGGGGAGAGUGGAAUUCCAUGUGUAGCGGUGAAAUGCGUAGAUAUAUGGAGGAACACCGGUGGCGAAAGCGGCUCUCUGGCUUGUAACUGACGCUGAGGCUCGAAAGCGUGGGGAGCAAACAGGAUUAGAUACCCCUGUAGUCCCUGUCUCUUAUACA